RNAcentral lists this ribosomal RNA (468 nucleotides) under uncultured bacterium. RNAcentral describes it as "partial 16S ribosomal RNA". It matches the Rfam family "Bacterial small subunit ribosomal RNA", at positions 28 to 507 of the family's 1533-position model. The record is from RNAcentral.
GACGAACGCCGGCGGCGUGCUUAACACAUGCAAGUCGAACGGAAAGGCCCUGCUUUUGUGGGGUGCUCGAGUGGCGAACGGGUGAGUAACACGUGAGUCACCUGCCCUUGACUUUGGGAUAACUUCAGGAAACUGGGGCUAAUACCGGAUAGGAGCUCCUGCUGCAUGGUGGGGGUUGGAAAGUUUCGGCGGUUGGGGAUGGACUCGCGGCUUAUCAGCUUGUUGGUGGGGUAGUGGCUUACCAAGGCUUUGACGGGUAGCCGGCCUGAGAGGGUGACCGGCCACAUUGGGACUGAGAUACGGCCCAGACUCCUACGGGAGGCAGCAGUGGGGAAUAGUGCACAAUGGGCGGAAGCCUGAUGCAGCAACGCCGCGUGCGGGAUGACGGCCUUCGGGUUGUAAACCGCUUUCGCCUGUGACGAAGCGUGAGUGACGGUAAUGGGUAAAGAAGCACGGGCUAACUACGUG